Branchiostoma belcheri (Belcher's lancelet) is the source of this 71-nucleotide non-coding RNA. Lineage: Eukaryota; Metazoa; Chordata; Leptocardii; Amphioxiformes; Branchiostomatidae. The record is from the annotation of a RefSeq genome assembly.
GGUCGUGUGGCGUAGCGGCAGCGUGCUUGGCUCGGAACCAAGAGGUCCCGGGUUCGAGUCCUGACAUGCCA